GCGGGGGUGGCGGAACUAGGUAGACGCGCCAGCCUUAGGAGCUGGUGGGAUUUCCCGUGCAGGUUCGAUUCCUGUCCCCCGUACCG
Molecule: transfer RNA, 86 nt
Filed under: Planctomycetota bacterium
Lineage: Bacteria; Pseudomonadati; Planctomycetota
Description: Planctomycetes bacterium tRNA-Leu
Rfam family: tRNA
About the family: Transfer RNA (tRNA) molecules are approximately 80 nucleotides in length. Their secondary structure includes four short double-helical elements and three loops (D, anti-codon, and T loops).
Source: RNAcentral